Molecule: ribosomal RNA, 325 nt
Filed under: uncultured bacterium
Lineage: Bacteria
Description: bacterial SSU rRNA
Rfam family: Bacterial small subunit ribosomal RNA
Source: RNAcentral
GAUGAACGCUGGCGGCGUGCCUAACACAUGCAAGUCGAACGGAGAUAGAACGCUGUCGAGACUUCGGUCAAAACUUGUUUUAUCUUAGUGGCGGACGGGUGAGUAACGCGUGGAGAACCUGCCUCGUACUGGGGGAUAACAGUUGGAAACGACUGAUAAUACCGCAUAAGCCCACGAGACCGCAUGGUCAUGAGGGAAAAGAUUUAUCGGUACGAGAUGGAUCCGCGUCUGAUUAGCCAGUUGGCGGGGUAACGGCCCACCAAAGCGACGAUCAGUAGCCGGCCUGAGAGGGCGACGGCACAUUGGGACUGAGACCACGGCCCAA